Long non-coding RNA from Bos taurus (domestic cattle), 406 nucleotides. The record is from Ensembl. NCBI's taxonomy places the organism in Eukaryota, Metazoa, Chordata, Mammalia, Artiodactyla, Bovidae.
GUUUAGGUUCGAGCAACCGCAAACAAAACCAAAGCUGAGAUUUGACAUAGCACAAGAUUUAUUUCAUGGGCAAAGAAUGAAGAAGCGGGAACUAAGUUCACAGAUCAACUUCUCACCCACCUGGCAAGAGAUAUUUAAAGAGUAAAGAUGGAAGGAUGAGGAUUGUGAAGCUAAUGAUGGGGAGAGCCUCCAGAAGGAACCAGCCCUGCCAACACCUGGACUUUUGCCCACUGAGACUGGUUUUGAACUUCUAAUCUCCAAAACUAUGGAAGAAAAGAUUCAUGACCAAAAAUGCAGGUGACCUCUAGAAACUGGAAAAGAGCAAGAAAUGGGUUCUCUCCUAGCAGCUCCAGAAAGGAAUACAACCCUGUCUUCAUCUUGACUUUUAGUUCAAUGAGACCUGUGU